This 230-nucleotide ribosomal RNA is filed under the name uncultured bacterium. RNAcentral's name for it is "partial 16S ribosomal RNA". It matches the Rfam family "Bacterial small subunit ribosomal RNA", at positions 568 to 796 of the family's 1533-position model. The record is from RNAcentral.
UACGUAGGCGGAAAAUUAAGUCAGUAGUGAAAUCCUGCAGCUUAACUGUAGAACUGUUAUUGAUACUGGUUUUCUUGAAUAUAGUUGAGGUAGGCGGAAUGUGUAAUGUAGCGGUGAAAUGCUUAGAUAUUACACAGAACACCGAUUGCGAAGGCAGCUUACUAAGCUAUGAUUGACGCUGAGGUACGAAAGCGUGGGGAGCGAACAGGAUUAGGAUACCCUGGUAGUCC